ACCUACGGGGGGCAGCAGUCUAGAGGCUUCGGCAAUGGGGGCAACCCUGACCGAGCGACGCCGCGUGUGGGAUUGAAGGCCUUCGGGUCGUAAACCACUGUCAUUGGGGACGAAUGCCCGGAUGGUGAAUCCGGGAGGGACGGUACCCAAGGAGGAAGCCCCGGCUAACUCCGUGCCAGCAGCCGCGGUAAUACGGAGGGGGCAAGCGUUGUUCGGAUUUACUGGGCGUAAAGGGUGUGUAGGCGGUCGCGUAAGUCUGGUGUGAAAUCUUCGCCGCUCAACGGGAAGAGUGCACUGGAUACUGCGCGACUCGAGUCUGGAAGAGGCAAGCGGAAUUCCUGGUGUAGCGGUGGAAUGUGUAGAUAUCAGGAAGAACAUCGGUGGCGAAGGCGGCUUGCUGGGCCACGACUGACGCUGAGACACGAAAGCGUGGGGAGCAAACGGGAUUAGAUACCCCGGUAGC
RNAcentral lists this ribosomal RNA (463 nucleotides) under uncultured bacterium. RNAcentral's name for it is "bacterial SSU rRNA". It matches the Rfam family "Bacterial small subunit ribosomal RNA", at positions 337 to 794 of the family's 1533-position model. The record is from RNAcentral.